RNAcentral lists this long non-coding RNA (231 nucleotides) under Elaeis guineensis (African oil palm). RNAcentral's name for it is "long non-coding RNA (EGUI_LNC033089)". Lineage: Eukaryota; Viridiplantae; Streptophyta; Magnoliopsida; Arecales; Arecaceae. The record is from RNAcentral.
UCUCAUUCAUUGUGAUAAACCAUUAAUCUCACGUAUGGGUGGCAAAAGCUGAAAUUGUCCAUCCAAAUUACUCCCACUUUUUUGAAAUAGAUUAGGUGGAUUUUCUUAUAUGCAAGUUAGUUUUCUAUCAUUCAAACUAGCACAAUUAUAAGUAGAUGGGCUUGUUUGAGCCCCCGGACCGAAUAGGUGGUAAGGUGUUAACCAGCCAAAAGCUUAGACGAUCUUCUCUCC